AAGACUUUGGAAUUUUGGGGAUGGAUUUGGGCAUUGUUUUGCUAAUUUCGUUCUCUGUUUUGCAUUUGGUUUAGACACAAGCAGCAUUCCAAAACAACACAGAACAAUUAAGAGAAAAUCACCAAGCUCCAAGAGGAAAUGAAAUGGAGUGGCGAAUGAAACAUAGAAACUGAACUGUCCACAUUAAAAAGCUCACAUCGAGAUGCUGAGGAACAGCUUGAGAGACACGCACAAGUCUAUUUUAAGGAACUAAAAGCCAAUGAAUCAUUAUCCAAGGAAUUAGAUAGAGCUAACAGGAGACUACUGAAGGUGAGUGCCAAACUCCGAAAUGAAAGGCAGAGGGAUGAAACUUUAAGGGCCAGUUUUACUGCAAGUCCCAUUCUGGAGCCACCUCCUACUGAGCCUCCUAACAGUAGUUCACUCUUCAACGGAGGACUGAUUCCAAGGAAAUGGAGGACAUGCUUUUGGAAUCACAGUGUCUUUGAACAGUAGAGCCAAUGCCUAUUUUAGAAAGGUCAGUCGUUUACAAUGAUUUUCCUUCUUUUCAAAUAGAGAUACAAUGCAACUUAGUCAUGUCAGUGA
Molecule: long non-coding RNA, 582 nt
Filed under: Monodelphis domestica (gray short-tailed opossum)
Lineage: Eukaryota; Metazoa; Chordata; Mammalia; Didelphimorphia; Didelphidae
Description: lncRNA (ENSMODG00000038724.1)
Source: RNAcentral